RNAcentral lists this unclassified non-coding RNA (286 nucleotides) under Glomeromycetes sp. RNAcentral describes it as "partial contains 5.8S ribosomal RNA and internal transcribed spacer 2". The stretch from base 1 to 65 matches the Rfam family "5.8S ribosomal RNA", at positions 84 to 154 of the family's 154-position model. The record is from RNAcentral. Lineage: Eukaryota; Fungi; Glomeromycota; Glomeromycetes.
GUGAAUCAUCAAAUCUUUGAACGCAAAUUGCACUCUCCUCGGAGAGUAUGCCUGUUUGAGGGUCAGCCUAUAUAAAACGAUAUCGUUGCUGUCUUGUGGUGCGUUCGUCGGAAAGCGGGUCAUUUUAAAUACUAUUGAUUGAGGCGCCUUAAAAUCUUCUUCUGGUGCCAUGAACGUUUCUACGAUUUAUUUCUUUACAUGUUUAAGGUAUCGACUUUUAUUAGACGUUACCAUCAUAUCGGAUCGGGAUAAUAAUGUUUCAUAAACGGACCUUAGACAGGUAAGA